Long non-coding RNA from Homo sapiens (human), 1560 nucleotides. Ensembl annotates it as TTN antisense RNA 1. Its record names the gene TTN-AS1. Lineage: Eukaryota; Metazoa; Chordata; Mammalia; Primates; Hominidae. The record is from Ensembl.
AGAGGCUGUGCCUUCCACAAAUGCUAUCCUGUAUCUGUCAGAAGCAGCUAUUUCUUUGCCAUCCUUAAACCAGGACACCCUCAUGGGGAGGGAGCCUGCAAUUUUGCAGUCCAGUCUGCAGAUGUUUGGCUUCCAGCUUCAUUUUCAGCCAGGCACGUGUAUUUGCCUCCAAAACUAAUCUGAACAUCAGGGAUUAUCAAGACUGCAACACCAUUGGAAAAGCUCAUUUUGAUUUUUCCGUCUUCUCUGAUGACCUCUUGACCUUUCAUCCAUGUGACAGAAAUGGGCUCUGACCCUCUCACAGCAGCUUGCAGGCUAAUUUCAAAUGGUCCAGUGCCUGAGACUUCACACUGAAGUAGAGCAUUUGUUCCUCUCACUAUGUCUGCAGGCUCAAGAGUUUUGAUGAAAGAAGGAGGUUCUACAAAAGCAUGAAAGCAUUGUGUGGACCUUCUUAUUGAUAGCGGACUGCACAGGCUCUAAUUCUUUAAUGAAAUGUGGCUUAUCAAUGAUGAUCAACUCUGCUUGGCAGAUGUCUGCUCCAAACUUGUUGGAAGCCUUACAAGAAUAAACUCCUCUAUCUUGAAUGGCUCUGCAGUACCUACCUACCAUGUUACUGUCUUGGUUGUUGGUCUCUCCAGUUGGUAAUACAAGCAUUUCCCACACAUGUACAGAAAGCAAAAAGGACAACAAUAUGAAAUGAAGUGACAACAUCUGUGCCAAUGUAUGGCAUUUACCUGUCACAGUUAGUGUGGCUGUACAGCUGACACUGCCAUACUCAUUGGAAGCUUUGCAUGUAUACUCGCCGCAGUCAACCACCUGGGUUCUCAGGAUUUCAAGGCUGGAGAUAUACUUUGAAGAUCGAAUAGAACACUUGUCACUCUCAUAAAUUUCUCGGCCAGCUUUAAACCACUGGAACCGGACAUUGGGAGCACUUUGGAUCUCACAGCAUAUAAGCAUUAGAAGACAGGACUCAAGUGUCUGCUGGCUGUAAAAAUACUGGAGAAACUCAUCUAUAGCAUGCAGAAUACAUAUUCAGCUUCUUCCUUUGGUGAACUGAAUGAGGCACCAGGAUACACAUGAACUGCCACUGGACAUGAACUGCACACAAUAAAAACCCGGCAUUGAAAACGGGCUGGCUGCCCUUCAGAAGUGACAGUGUCCUGAAGCGGGGUGAUGAUGGCAGGUGGAUAAACAGGCAUUUCCUGAUCAGGAGACACAACUUCUGGAACUAAAGAAAGAAACCACAAGAUUUGUCAUGAUUAAGUCACCAUAGAGACCUCACAGAAGGGAGCAUGUAGGUUUAUCUUAAUUUAUUUCACUGCAGAGUGCUUUCAAAGUUGGGUAGCAAUCUACUUUUAUGAGCUCCAAAUUGUAUUUUUAAAUGCACUGGGAAAGGACAAAAGCCUGCUUCUUAGGUUUUAUUUUCAGCUGGAAGUAGCGAGGCAUUCCUACCUUCCACUGAGAGUGAAGCUGAUGUUGUGGCAACACCAUAGUCAUUCUUGGCUUCACAGGUAUAGACUGCCGCAUCCUCUGGGAAGGCUUCAAUUAGCAAAAGCGUGU